GACGAACGCUGGCGGCGUGCUUAACACAUGCAAGUCGAACGGAAAGGCCCUGCUUUUGUGGGGUGCUCGAGUGGCGAACGGGUGAGUAACACGUGAGUAGCCUGCCCUUGACUUUGGGAUAACUUCAGGAAACUGGGGCUAAUACCGGAUAGGAGCUCCUGCUGCAUGGUGGGGGUUGGAAAGUUUCGGCGGUUGGGGAUGGACUCGCGGCUUAUCAGCUUGUUGGUGGGGUAGUGGCUUACCAAGGCUUUGACGGGUAGCCGGCCUGAGAGGGUGACCGGCCACAUUGGGACUGAGAUACGGCCCAGACUCCUACGGGAGGCAGCAGUGGGGAAUAUUGCACAAUGGGCGGAAGCCUGAUGCAGCAACGCCGCGUGCGGGAUGACGGCCUUCGGGUUGUAAACCGCUUUCGCCUGUGACGAAGUGAGUGACGGUAAUGGGUAAAGAAGCACCGGCUAACUACGUG
RNAcentral lists this ribosomal RNA (466 nucleotides) under uncultured bacterium. RNAcentral's name for it is "partial 16S ribosomal RNA". It matches the Rfam family "Bacterial small subunit ribosomal RNA", at positions 28 to 507 of the family's 1533-position model. The record is from RNAcentral.